Small nuclear RNA from Schistocerca cancellata (South American locust), 104 nucleotides. The record is from RefSeq and is a predicted model, not a curated record. NCBI's taxonomy places the organism in Eukaryota, Metazoa, Arthropoda, Insecta, Orthoptera, Acrididae.
CCAGCUUUGGCGCUAUAUAAACUAAACGUGGAAGAGUACAAAGAAGCUUGGCAUGGCUCCUGCUCAAGGACGACAUGCAAAAUAUUGAAGUGUUCCAGCUUCGC